AAAUAGCUUUAUGUUUGUGAGACUGAUGUAAUGACGAAACAUGGUUUCACAUUAUUUGUAUUUUUUUCGGCCGUCGCUAGCACUACAUGUAGGGACGAACAAGAUUUCUGUGAGAGUAAAGUUUGUAAUGAACGAGAGUUUGAGCAGAAUCACUUCUACACCAAUGAGAAGACAUAUGGAGAAAUACCACUGACUUUAUCACAUAGACUUUUAGAUGCUCUCCCUCUUGAUGAGCUGGAUGGUCCUGUUAGUCGUCCUGUGAGGGGGUG
Long non-coding RNA from Cyprinus carpio (common carp), 269 nucleotides. RefSeq lists it as uncharacterized. The record is from RefSeq and is a predicted model, not a curated record. Lineage: Eukaryota; Metazoa; Chordata; Actinopteri; Cypriniformes; Cyprinidae. The transcript has 2 exons.